CCUACGGGGGGCUGCAGUGGGGAAUUUUGGACAAUGGGCGCAAGCCUGAUCCAGCCAUGCCGCGUGAGUGAAGAAGGCCUUCGGGUUGUAAAGCUCUUUCGGCGGGGAAGAAAUUGCUCAGGAUAAUACCUUGAGUAGAUGACGGUACCCGCAUAAGAAGCACCGGCUAACUACGUGCCAGCAGCCGCGGUAAUACGUAGGGUGCGAGCGGUAAUCGGAAUUAGUGGAGGUGGAUCUGUAAGUGGCAUGUGAAAUCCCCGGGCUCAACCUGGGAACUGCAUUUGAGACUGCAAGGCUAGAGUGUAGCAGAGGGGGGUAGAAUUCCACGUGUAGCAGUGAAAUGCGUAGAGAUGUGGAGGAAUACCGAUGGCGAAGGCAGCCCCCUGGGUUACUACUGACGCUCAUGCACGAAAGCGUGGGGAGCAAACAGGAUUAGAUACCCUUGUAGUC
RNAcentral lists this ribosomal RNA (450 nucleotides) under uncultured bacterium. RNAcentral's name for it is "partial 16S ribosomal RNA". It matches the Rfam family "Bacterial small subunit ribosomal RNA", at positions 338 to 795 of the family's 1533-position model. The record is from RNAcentral.